This is a non-coding RNA of Mayamaea pseudoterrestris, 73 nucleotides long. NCBI's taxonomy places the organism in Eukaryota, Bacillariophyta, Bacillariophyceae, Sellaphorales, Sellaphoraceae. The record is from the annotation of a GenBank genome assembly.
GUCGCAAUAGCUCAGUUGGGAGAGCGCAAGACUGAAGAUCUUGAGGCCCAGUGUUCGAUUCACUGUUGCGACA